This 72-nucleotide transfer RNA is filed under the name Ornithorhynchus anatinus (platypus). It matches the Rfam family "tRNA". Rfam says of the family: Transfer RNA (tRNA) molecules are approximately 80 nucleotides in length. Their secondary structure includes four short double-helical elements and three loops (D, anti-codon, and T loops). The record is from Rfam by way of RNAcentral. Lineage: Eukaryota; Metazoa; Chordata; Mammalia; Monotremata; Ornithorhynchidae.
AGCAGCGUGGCUUAGUGACAAGAGCACAGGCUUGGGAAUCAGAGGAUGUGGGUUCCAAUCCCACCUUUGCCA